This 855-nucleotide ribosomal RNA is filed under the name uncultured bacterium. RNAcentral's name for it is "bacterial SSU rRNA". It matches the Rfam family "Bacterial small subunit ribosomal RNA", at positions 26 to 896 of the family's 1533-position model. The record is from RNAcentral.
AGGACGAACGCUGGCGGCGUGCUUAACACAUGCAAGUCGAGCGGAAAGGCCCUUCGGGGUACUCGAGCGGCGAACGGGUGAGUAACACGUGAGCAACCUGCCCCUAUGCUCUGGGAUAGCUUCGGGAAACCGGAAUUAAUACCGGAUAUGACCACGGUCGGCAUCGGCUGUGGUGGAAAGAUUUAUCGGCUAGGGAUGGACUCGCGGCCUAUCAGCUUGUUGGUGAGGUAACGGCUCACCAAGGCGACGACGGGUAGCCGGCCUGAGAGGGCGACCGGCCACACUGGGACUGAGACACGGCCCAGACUCCUACGGGAGGCAGCAGUGGGGAAUAUUGCGCAAUGGGCGAAAGCCUGACGCAGCAACGCCGCGUGGGGGAUGAAUGCCUUCGGGUUGUAAACCCCUUUCAGCAGGGACGAAGCGAAAGUGACGGUACCUGCAGAAGAAGCGCCGGCUAACUACGUGCCAGCAGCCGCGGUAAUACGUAGGGCGCGAGCGUUGUCCGGAAUUAUUGGGCGUAAAGAGCUCGUAGGUGGUCUGCUGCGUCCGCUGUGAAAACCUAGGGCUUAACCCUGGGCCUGCAGUGGAUACGGGCAGACUAGAGGUAGGUAGGGGAGAAUGGAAUUCCCGGUGUAGCGGUGAAAUGCGCAGAUAUCGGGAGGAACACCGGUGGCGAAGGCGGUUCUCUGGGCCUUACCUGACACUGAGGAGCGAAAGCGUGGGGAGCGAACAGGAUUAGAUACCCUGGUAGUCCACGCCGUAAACGUUGGGCGCUAGGUGUGGGGUCCUUCCACGGAUUCCGUGCCGCAGCUAACGCAUUAAGCGCCCCGCCUGGGGAGUACGGCCGCAAGGCUA